RNAcentral lists this ribosomal RNA (265 nucleotides) under uncultured bacterium. RNAcentral describes it as "partial 16S ribosomal RNA". It matches the Rfam family "Bacterial small subunit ribosomal RNA", at positions 793 to 1055 of the family's 1533-position model. The record is from RNAcentral.
GUCCACGCCCUAAACGAUGCUGACUAGUUGUUCGGGAUUUACAUCCUGAGUAACGUAGCUAACGCGUGAAGUCAGCCGCCUGGGGAGUACGGUCGCAAGAUUAAAACUCAAAGGAAUUGACGGGGACCCGCACAAGCUGUGGAUGAUGUGGAUUAAUUCGAUGCAACGCGAAAAACCUUACCUACCCUUGACAUGUCACUAACGAAGUAGAGAUACAUUAGGUGCUCGUAAGAGAAAGUGAACACAGGUGCUGCAUGGCUGUCGU